This 48-nucleotide non-coding RNA is filed under the name Trypanosoma lewisi. Lineage: Eukaryota; Euglenozoa; Kinetoplastea; Trypanosomatida; Trypanosomatidae. The record is from RNAcentral.
AUGAUAUAACACUGCGACAUAUAUUUAGAACAUAAAGAUGAUGAGUGU